This 296-nucleotide ribosomal RNA is filed under the name uncultured bacterium. Its description in RNAcentral is "partial 16S ribosomal RNA". It matches the Rfam family "Bacterial small subunit ribosomal RNA", at positions 775 to 1067 of the family's 1533-position model. The record is from RNAcentral.
GGAUUAGAUACCCUGGUAGUCCACGCCGUAAACGAUGGAUACUAGAUGUCCGAGGAGUUCGACCUCUUUGGGUGUCGCAGUUAACGCAUUAAGUAUCCCGCCUGGGAAGUACGGUCGCAAGACUAAAACUCAAAGGAAUUGACGGGGGCCCGCACAAGCGGUGGAACAUGUGGUUUAAUUCGACGCAACGCACAAAACCUUACCUGGAUUUGACAUCCUCUGAUCGCUCUAGAGAUAGAGAAUCUUCUUCGGAAGCAGAGUGACAGGUGCUGCAUGGCUGUCGUCAGCUCGUGCCG